ACUAUCUUGGCAGAUUAGUGCGAUAAAUUUAGAAUUUGUUUAUGUAGAUUUUUCUACAGAUAGUA
RNAcentral lists this transfer RNA (65 nucleotides) under Sclomina erinacea. RNAcentral describes it as "tRNA-Leu". Lineage: Eukaryota; Metazoa; Arthropoda; Insecta; Hemiptera; Reduviidae. The record is from RNAcentral.